Molecule: ribosomal RNA, 427 nt
Filed under: uncultured prokaryote
Description: bacterial SSU rRNA
Rfam family: Bacterial small subunit ribosomal RNA
Source: RNAcentral
UAGGGAAUCUUCGGCAAUGGGCGAAAGCCUGACCGAGCAACGCCGCGUGAAUGAUGAAGGCCUUCGGGUUGUAAAAUUCUGUUAUAAGGGAAGAACGACUUUAGUAGGAAAUGGCUAGAGUGUGACGGUACCUUAUGAGAAAGCCACGGCUAACUACGUGCCAGCAGCCGCGGUAAUACGUAGGUGGCGAGCGUUAUCCGGAAUUAUUGGGCGUAAAGAGCGCGCAGGUGGUUGAUUAAGUCGGAUGUGAAAGCCCACGGCUUAACCGUGGAGGGUCAUUGGAAACUGGUCGACUUGAGUGCAGAAGAGGGAAGUGGAAUUUCAUGUGUAGCGGUGAAAUGCGUAGAGAUAUGGAGGAACACCAGUGGCGAAGCCGGCUUCCUGGUCUGUAACUGACACUGAGGCGCGAAAGCUAGGGUAGCAAACG